GCGGUGGGCGGAGACCUUCCUCCCUACUUAGACCAAUAAAUGAAACUAGUUAGUGAUGGAAAGUCGGUGGCAGAAGUGCAGAAGUGUCUGGUGAUAAACUGGGUGUCAAUUAGAGGAGCUCUCUCACCGGUGAUCAGCUACACAGCACAAGAGUCGUGCCUGUUGCUUGUUGAGAGAACAGAAGAUGGAGUGGCGCCAGCAGACCAGUGUCAGCUGUGCAGACGCGUUCAACGAGGCUCGACGCUGGAUUGAGGAAGUGACUGGAAAAUCAUUUGGUUGCAAAGACUUCCGUGCGGCCUUAGAGAAUGGAGUCCUGCUUUGCGACUUGAUCAACCAGUUGAAACCUGGCAUCAUUAAGAGAGUAAACAGGCUUUCUACUCCCAUCGCUGGUCUGGAUAAUGUGAAUGUAUUCCUGAAAGCCUGUGGGAAACUGGGGCUGAAUGUGUCUCAGCUGUUUCAUCCAGGAGACCUGCAGGACCUGUCCACUCGGGCAACACUCAGGCGAGAUGAAAGCAGCAGAAGACUCAAAAAUGUUCUCAUCACAAUCUAUUGGUUGGGUCGCAAAGCUCACCUGGAUGCUUUCUACAGUGGUCCUCAGCUGAACUUAAAGGCCUUUGAAGGGCUUUUAGGGUUGGCUUUGUCCAAGGCUCUAGAUGAGGCCAUGUUUGUGAAAGAUUGCUGGUACCCAGAGAGGGAGGACUGUCGGCGUAUGAGACCGGGCUACAAGACGGCAAACUCUGUGGACAGCAUUGAGGUUCAGGAAUCCCGAACCCUCCGCCAAAACAGCGAAGGUUGUGGAAGUGACGCUGAAGCUGAGCAGGUGUUCAAGAUGGAAAACACACAGCCAUCAACCCAGCAAAAAAAAGGUUAUUUCCCACCGCCACUACAACGGAGAAAGCAAGGACAGGAGGAGAAUGGAAGUCCGCUGUCCAGAGCAAAUCAAAUCCAGGUCAGGCCUGAGAGACCAGUUCAGGUCAACCCUGGCUGGAUUUGGAGCAAAUCACUCAGCGACAUCCCAAUGGUUUACCCUGUGCGUAAAGUUCCUGAUGGGAACACGAUUUACGAUGUGGACCAGGACACCAGCAUCGCAGGGGAGUGGAAUCAAGAAAAAAUACGCAAGUGCAGUGUCGCUGCCAAGGACAGUGAAGCUCAGUGGCAUGAUGAAUUGACAAAGUGGAAGAAUCGUCGCAGGAGCACCAAGUCUGACAUCCGCAGGAAGUCACAAGACAGAGAGCAUGUUAUUAACCAGAUGGCAAACGGGGCUGUGGCUAAAUACGAGAAGAAUGAAGCACAAGGUGGACUGCGGAAGAGAGAGCAGCAGUCACCACGAAGGCAUAAUCCUGCACCUCGUCCUUACUCCACCUCUCCUCCAGCAAAAGCAACCAGCUCUCAUCUCCGGCCACACACUCGAGCUCUGCUGGCCCGCAGCUACGCUACCGAGGCACCUUUCAGCCCCACGGCUCAACGCAGCUCCUACAACUCAGCCCACACUCAGGGAUCAUCAGUUGGAGCCAUGCCUGCCUCUGAUGGGAACUUCCUGGGAGAGGAGACCCACUUUGCCUCCUUGGCUUCAGAUGGAGCAGCAGUAACCACUCCAUCCCCGGACUGCCGGUUCAGCUCUCAGACACAAGUCAAAUUGCAGGGCAGCUCAGCUCCUUUCCAGCCCACAUCUGCAGUGGCCCAGUCAGAACAUGUUUUUACAAACCAAAUCUCCACUCUGAUCACAACUUUACAGCCAAACGUGAUGACAAAGUCAACUAACACCAGAGAUCCUCCUGAAUCCAUGUCGAGUCACAAGGAGCCUCCACUCUGUGUUGGUGCAAAGACAGGAGUUGAUGCUCUGGAGGACUCGUCCCAGGAAGAGAGCCAGAAGACAUCAUGGGAACCAGCUGCGGAGCCGGGCAGAGGCCAGCAGGCUGCGAGCUUCUAUAAGUACCUCUCCAGAACCGGAUCGUGGUCUAGCUCAGCCAGCCUCCCUCGUGGAUACCGGAGGUCUGAGGGCUCAUCUCGUCUCUCUUCUGCAAUCACGGCCAGGCCGUUUGGGACCAAGCCGUCCAGGGUGUCCUCGCUGCCCAGACUGCGCAACGUAGACGACAACCAGGGUCUGCUGCUGACAAGCGAGAAAGAGGAAUCUGUUUCUCCAACCAACAAAUCUGCACUCAAGAGACAGACUGCGACUGUCCAGCUGCAGAGUCCGCACCAGGCUUCAGUCAGACAGCAGGAAACUGGCCAGACGAAGCAGAAAGCUUCAGUACAGUUGGAGGAGGUGAAAGGAGCCACUCUCUCCGGUCAGACCUCCUUCCAGACCAAUGGCUACCACUCUCAGCCCUACACUCAAACCCAGCAGCUGCCACAGCCGUAUGCAGACCUGCAGACCCUCCACAACAAAAGCUCAACUCUCCCAUCUAACGCAAGCACCGACCUCCCAAAGGUGGAUCACAGUGACAUGAGAGUGAGCCUAACUCUCAAACCCAACAGUCGACCAGACUUUGGUUUCCAGACUCAUUGGGACUCCACCGGGGCGAGAGUCAAAUUCAUUCAACCUGACAGUCCAGCGGAGCUUUGCCAGCUGCGUGUGGACGAUGAGAUUGUGGCUGUUAAUGGAGUUGCAGUGGCACACAUGAACUACAACCAGUGGAAGGAUAAAAUGACAUCUUCCCUACAAACUGGCAGUCUGACCAUGGACAUCCGGCGCUAUGGCAACAAGGAUUGGAGCACCAGUGAGGGGAGCCAUCACAACCAGCCAGGCCAGAGCAGGGUCACCCUCAAUCUGACUGCUGCGGCGCCCGUUCUGACGGGUCGCCCUGAUCACCAUGCCAACAGUGGUGCCUCUGCAGAAACCGCAGGCAGGAAUUUGUCCCAAUUCAAUGGGCAGACAGACAAUGUUUUACAGGGUAAAGUCAUGCAUGGAGAACUUUCUGACCACCACAAGACAGCCAGAAGUAAAGGAGGCUCAGAAUCUGCAAUAUCUGAUCUCCAGGUGCCAUCCCUCAGCCCCUCCUCAUCCAGCUGGUCGUGGGACCGCGAGGAGGAUCGAAGGCGUCAGGAGAAGUGGCAGGAAGAGCAGGAGCGCCUCCUACAGGAGAAAUACCAGCGGGAUCAGGAGAGGCUUGAAUCAGAGUGGCAGAGAGCACAACAAGAAGCAAAACGAGAGUUAUGCAGGAAGCAGAACACAUUUGAGAUGACCAAUGGUGGUGGGGGCCCUGCCAGCACUCAGCUCCACGUGAAUGGAUUGACAAAUAAAAGCAGAGAAGAGGAGCAGAGCCCUGACAGAGAUGAGCUGAAAGAAGCAGGAUCAAAACCUCAAAGUAGAGCACAAGGAGAGCAGCAUGACAAAAUUACUGAACAAGCCUGGGCUGAGGACUUUGAACAGCUGUCUCCUGCACACAGGGCGAAGUCCAUGUCUACUCCAGCCUUAGCUGGCCCCUACAAACAGGCAAGAGGUGAUGAGAGGAAAAUAAAAGUACAGGCUGUGUCUAAAGCUGAGAAAGACAGGCAGCAGAUUCUGGAGGAGAUGAAGAAAAGGACUCAACUUCUGACCGACAACAGCUGGAUACGUCAGCGCAGCAGCAGCUUUUAUAAGGAGCCGGUCUAUCUCGGGGUUCCCAUGAAGAGAUACGAGUCUCUGGACGACCUGGACUCUUUACGUCAGUCUCCACUCUCCACUGCUACAUUCAGUUACCCUCGUCCUCAUUCAGCUGCUGCAGGUUACUAUGCCCCGAGUAGGAACUCCUCCUCCCGCUACAGCACUGGGUCUAUGUUAUCCCAGAGACAUACAUUUGACUCCUCUCAUCAUGGCGGAAGUCCUCGAGAGUCUUCUCACCUCUCCCUCCCCCUCGCAGUGUGUGGGCUGCAAACGACAUCUCGGAGGAACUGAGACUGGAAUCCAGGUUCGAAUCCGAAACGGGAAACCCUACUGUGAGCCCUGCUAUUUCCAACUCAAGUCCGCUGGUGCCCCCGCCAUGUGAUCAGCAUGCCGUACUCAGAAUCACAGAGUAAGCUGCCAAAUCACUGGGAACUGCUGUUGGAUAAAACUACAAAAUCACAGUGUAAACAUCUUUCAUGCAGCCAAGACAUGGCUUUUAUCUGCUACAGUAAUCACUGGUAAAGCUUCAAACUAUGUUGUGAUAAACGCUCUUCUGCAGAUUCACAUGCAAAGUAGACCCAUUGGCUGUUUUUUUUAAUCAAACAUGGUUAAUAUGGUCUUUUUUUCUGCUAAUUUGUUUCCAAGAAAACUUAGAUUUAAUAUAUGAAAUAAAGUAAUAAGGGGGGUUAUUAGUGUUUGGUUAAUGCUUUUAUUUUGAUGUUAGUAUUGCUGUAUGUCAUAUUUGUCCUGUAUGUAAUAUUUGUCCCAUAGUGCAUUAAGGAAUCAGAUUUUUCUUGUUGAUGUAACCCAUGUAUGAUGGCACAUUUUAACUUGUACUGAUGCACUUUCUGCUCUGUUGUAAUCUCACCAGCUGCACUUUGGGAUAAAUCAGUGGUAAAUACAAUGUGUGUUUUUCUGGCUUGAAAUGGCAAUCUUAACUGACAUGUUUUUGUAAAUAAAUAAAGUG
Non-coding RNA from Plectropomus leopardus (leopard coralgrouper), 4553 nucleotides. The record is from RefSeq and is a predicted model, not a curated record. NCBI's taxonomy places the organism in Eukaryota, Metazoa, Chordata, Actinopteri, Perciformes, Serranidae.